AUACGGAGGGUGCAAGCGUUGUUCGGAAUUAUUGGGCGUAAAGCGCGUGUAGGCGGUCUGUUAAGUCUGGUGUGAAAGCCCUGGGCUCAACCCAGGAAGUGCAUUGGAUACUGACAGACUUGAGUAUGGGAGAGGAAAGCGGAAUUCCGAGUGUAGGAGUGAAAUCCGUAGAUAUUCGGAGGAACACCAGUGGCGAAGGCGGCUUUCUGGACCAAUACUGACGCUGAGACGCGAAAGCGUGGGGAGCAAACAGGAUUAGAAACCCCAGUAGUCC
RNAcentral lists this ribosomal RNA (274 nucleotides) under uncultured bacterium. RNAcentral describes it as "partial 16S ribosomal RNA". It matches the Rfam family "Bacterial small subunit ribosomal RNA", at positions 523 to 796 of the family's 1533-position model. The record is from RNAcentral.